CUACGGGUUGCUGCAGUAGGGAAUUUUCGGCAAUGGGCGAAAGCCUGACCGAGCAAUGCCGCGUGAACGAUGAAGGUCUUCGGAUCGUAAAGUUCUGUUGUUAAGGAAGAACAGGUAUAAUAGGAAAUGAUUAUGCCCUGACGGUACUUAACCAGAAAGCUCCGGCUAACUACGUGCCAGCAGCCGCGGGUAAUACGUAGGGAGCGAGCGUUAUCCGGAAUUAUUGGGCGUAAAGCGUGCGUAGGCGGUUUACUAAGUCAAAUCUGAAAGCCCACAGCUUAACUGUGGAGGGUGAUUUGAAACUGGUAGACUUGAGUACGGCAGAGGUUAGUGGAAUUCAAUGUGUAGCGGUGGAAUGCGUAGAUAUAUUGAGGAACACCAGUGGCGAAGGCGGCUAACUGGACCGGAACUGACGCUGAGGCACGAAAGCGUGGGGAGCAAACAGGAUUAGAUACCCCUGUAGUC
RNAcentral lists this ribosomal RNA (465 nucleotides) under uncultured bacterium. Its description in RNAcentral is "partial 16S ribosomal RNA". It matches the Rfam family "Bacterial small subunit ribosomal RNA", at positions 339 to 795 of the family's 1533-position model. The record is from RNAcentral.